Long non-coding RNA from Platichthys flesus (European flounder), 2650 nucleotides. RefSeq lists it as uncharacterized. The record is from RefSeq and is a predicted model, not a curated record. The transcript is spliced from 3 exons. Lineage: Eukaryota; Metazoa; Chordata; Actinopteri; Pleuronectiformes; Pleuronectidae.
AUUGAGUGAUCGCCCUCUCUUCCUGUCCACGCUGCAUGUUGCAGUUUGUUUAGUUUGACCUGAGGGUCGAAUCCCGGCUGCACAGGUGUGAUCCUCUCUGUCACCGACCCUGAGUGUCAGAGAAACUGCUGAUAAUGAACCUCUGUAACAAGCCAUACAGGGGUCUGAUGCUGGAACUGUGGAUUUGUACUCACCACCAGAUGGGAUAGCCUCCAAGCACCCGCGAGCUGGACAACCACACACACAUCAAAUAUCCAAUCAGAUACAAAUCCAUGAGCGAGUGCAUGAUGAUUUGUUGGAGACUUCUUGGAGUCACGAGGCUGAAGGAGCCUCAGAGUCUCGGUCCUGUGUCCUGGAAGUGGACGAGUAUUGAAGAUGAUAUCAAUGCCUUUGUCAGGACUUUUUAAAACGACGGGACAAAGACGACAAGAACUCUUCCCCCAAAUAAACCUUUUUCAUUAGAGCAGCAAACACUUCAUCCCUCUGCUGGUGUGUGUGUGUUUGUGUGAGUCACUCAGCGAGGUCCCACAUGGAGGAGCCCAAAGCCCCGGCGUUCUUCAGCCGGACACUGAGGCGGCCUAAUUAAAGGGCACUUAAGCCCCACAAUGUGCGGCGGUGCAGGUUGGAGUUGGUGGGGGUCCCCGUCGAGAGGGACAGAAUUCAUGGCACUCGUAAACAAGGGAGUCCAGGACAGAGGGACAGAAGAGGGCUACGUGCCAGAGACUUUGUUCACACAAGAUGAAGAGUCAACAGCCUCCCUAUCCCUCACCCCUCCUCAGCCAUCCCCCCUAAUAACCACCUUCUUCAGAGGAGCUGCGAACACAAUGCCCUCCCACUCCCCUCCUCUUGCGCUCAAUCACUGUUGGGACAAUGAGGAGACCCCCCCCCCUCCACCACCACCACCACCACCACCACCAUCACCCCCCCCAACCCACCACCAUCCUUCUGCCCCUCCCCGACCCCCAAACAGACACUUCUUUUAUUGAAAUUCUUUGGUGUUCUAAUCCUCAGCUUCCUCCAGGGGCAAUAAUGGACUCCCUGCGUCAGCCUUUUCCAGCGGGGCCAUCAUCCGAGCCCGGCUGGGUCACAAGUCCACCUCCGCCACUGGAGAAAAUCUGGCCCGGCACCGUCCAGCUCAUGCACAGGCCAAACCAGUGCCAUUGACCUGAGGAACAUUACAGGCCACUCGUGUUUUAUAUUCUCAAGUAACAUUUGAUUUAAUUUGCUGAAUAUGUUCAGGUACUUUUACUCUUGAGAUUUACAGCAGCAGUUGUAAACAAUUUCCAUAAUUCUCCUUUUUUUGUGUUCAUAUUCUUCAAUUUGAACAGCAAGCAUUUUCAUGUAGCCACACAUUUGGUGGAAAGUGUGACAAACGCUGGUGAAAACAAAUUGUCAGCAAAUGAGCAGAAGUGAAAAAACAAGAAACAAAGACAUUUUUCUGUAUAUUUUCAGUUGUGAGUUGACUGUAUUGAAUUAAUAUUCCUGAGAUUAACCCAUUAUAAUAUAGGAGGAGGAAAAUAUCUAUUGACACAAUAUCAUUUUUUUUUAAACUGCACAUUAUAACUUUCAUGAACAUGGGAGUUAUUACAAGGUUGUUUGGUUAGAUCACAUUAACUUCAGCUAGGUGUAUCUAAUACAUUUGCAGAAGAGCAUAAAUACACAUAAAUAUAGAUAUUAAAAACCUGCAGUUCUACAUGCACAAUUAACUUUAUCCCUGAAAAUAAGGAUUCCGGUGUAAAAUUAAAAGUAGUAAAUGUGAUAAACUGUGGUUCUGUGUGUGUUUCUUCAGUGGUCACAGGGUUAAUUACUGUUGACAAGUAGAAACACACAUUCCUUAUAUCAUUUAUCUCGACUGCAGCUCUGCGCUCGUGUUAGAAUAAACUUCACAGCGUGUGGAUGCUGACACCUGCUGGUGAAACACAACCACACGCUCCUGAUUUGUCAUUCAUGAAACUCUGAACCCUGUUUGGAUGAUGUCACGAGCCUGUGUUGUGAUGACUACAGCUGCAGCCAGUGAUUGAUUCUGAUACUUUGGAGGGUUUAUCACUAAAUAGUCAAUCAUUGUGAUAAAUGCACAACAUGUGGUUCCAGAGUCCAAAGUGAUGCUUUGACAAAUAUUCUUUUUGUGAUCAGCGAUAUGGAAAAGUAAUGAUUUUCUCUUAAAAUUAUACAAAAGGACAAUAACAAGACAAUCUAUGUAUUUAAAUCCUCGUACUGUUCUACUAUAAGGAGCAGAAUGUGGAUCUUCUACUCUUAUACAAUGAAUUUUCACUUUAUAAUGAUAUAAAACAGGAGAAAGCAAAAGAAUAUUUAUGAAAUGUGGAGCUGCUCAUGUUCAAUGAAGUGAAGUUUGUACAUUCGAUAUCAAAUUGUGUUGUGUUUAAUUAAUCAAUUGUGAUUGACUGAUUGGAUUUGAAUGGGUGAAGAUUAAACUGAUGUAAUUCCAACUCAGGGCUGUAACACUGAAGCCCUCAGCCAGGAACACUGAAUUAUUCAAUAUAUCUACUUAAAAAAAUAAUAAACAGCUUUGGAUUUCCUCCAGAUUUUCUUUUAAAGCUGCUGUUGUGGUUUUAUGAGCCAUUAAAGCUGCAUUAGCCGGAGAGUAACGUGCACACUAUCCCUCCAACACACUGUAGAUGUCAAACAAUCA